This 465-nucleotide ribosomal RNA is filed under the name uncultured bacterium. Its description in RNAcentral is "partial 16S ribosomal RNA". It matches the Rfam family "Bacterial small subunit ribosomal RNA", at positions 28 to 507 of the family's 1533-position model. The record is from RNAcentral.
GACGAACGCUGGCGGCGUGCUUAACACAUGCAAGUCGAACGGAAAGGCCCCUUUGGGGGUACUCGAGUGGCGAACGGGUGAGUAACACGUGAGUAACCUGCCCUUGACUUCGGGAUAACUUCAGGAAACUGGGGCUAAUACCGGAUAGGAAUCCUUGCUGCAUGGUGGGGGUUGGAAAGCUUCGGCGGUUUUGGAUGGACUCGCGGCUUAUCAGCUUGUUGGUGGGGUAGUGGCUUACCAAGGCUGUGACGGGUAGCCGGCCUGAGAGGGCGACCGGCCACAUUGGGACUGAGAUACGGCCCAGACUCCUACGGGAGGCAGCAGUGGGGAAUAUUGCACAAUGGGCGGAAGCCUGAUGCAGCAACGCCGCGUGCGGGAUGACGGCCUUCGGGUUGUAAACCGCUUUCAGCAGGGGCGAAGCUUGUGGUGACGGUACCUGCAGAAGAAGCACCGGCUAACUACGUG